RNAcentral lists this ribosomal RNA (253 nucleotides) under uncultured bacterium. RNAcentral describes it as "partial 16S ribosomal RNA". It matches the Rfam family "Bacterial small subunit ribosomal RNA", at positions 524 to 776 of the family's 1533-position model. The record is from RNAcentral.
UGCGUAGGGUGCAAGCGUUAAUCGGAAUUACUGGGCGUAAAGCGUGCGCAGGCGGUUGUGCAAGACCGAUGUGAAAUCCCCGGGCUUAACCUGGGAAUGGCAUUGGUGACUGCACGGCUAGAGUGUGUCAGAGGGGGGUAGAAUUCCACGUGUAGCAGUGAAAUGCGUAGAGAUGUGGAGGAAUACCGAUGGCGAAGGCAGCCCCCUGGGAUAACACUGACGCUCAUGCACGAAAGCGUGGGGAGCAAACAGG